CAAUGAUAUUCUUAAGGCUGAUUGCGUGAAUUUGUUGGUUAAAUAUUACAAAGAAGCCAAGCGCGGUGUUUGCUUGAGUGAUGAAGUAGAUGAUGUAUCUUCCCGACGAGGUGAGAAGAGUGUUUCACAUCUGGGAGAGAGAACAAUGAGCUUGAAAUCUGUGGAGGUCAAAUCUAAAACCAGGGGAGGUGGAAGAUGUUGCAUAUGCUUUGAUCCAUUUUCUAUACUGAAUGUAUCAAUCAUUGCAUUCUUUUGUUGUCAUGCGUAUCAUACAACAUGUCUUAUGGAGUCCUCCAUAUCCGUCGGUGGCAAAAAAGAGGCAGGAGUUGCUGCCCAGAGGACUACCUCAUAUGAUGAAUAUCCUAAUGGUGUUAACGAUGACUAUGAGGAUGAGGAUGAGGAAGAG
This 406-nucleotide unclassified non-coding RNA is filed under the name Hevea brasiliensis (rubber tree). Lineage: Eukaryota; Viridiplantae; Streptophyta; Magnoliopsida; Malpighiales; Euphorbiaceae. The record is from RNAcentral.